CCCUUAGAUGUUCUGGGCCGCACGCGCGCUACACUGAUUCAUGCAACAAGUUUUGUCCUUGGCUGAUAGGCCUGGGUAAUCUUUGAACGUGAAUCGUGAUGGGGAUAGAUGAUUGCAAUUAUUCAUCUUCAACGAGGAAUUCCUAGUAAACGCAAGUCAUCAGCUUGCAUUGAUUACGUCCCUGCCCUUUGCACACACCGCCCGUCGCACCUACCGAUUGAAUGGUCCGGUGAAAUCUUCGGAUCUGAGAGAUGUCUGAUUAAUUUCGGACGCCUUUUGGAAAAGUUGCUUAAACCUUACCAUUUAGAGGAAGGUGAAGUCGUAACA
Molecule: ribosomal RNA, 327 nt
Filed under: uncultured eukaryote
Lineage: Eukaryota
Description: partial 18S ribosomal RNA
Rfam family: Eukaryotic small subunit ribosomal RNA
Source: RNAcentral